AGAAACUCACACAGACGCUUUUAUAGAGCUCCAGAGGGCAGACAACACGAAAAGUAUCAGAAUGAUGACUUUGACCUUUGACUUAAUUAUGCUGACACGGAAAGCUCAUCAUCCAGAGCUAAUUGCAACACUCUUGGAUAGCGGCUAAAGUCAAUCACGGCUAUUCGAAACUAACGCAAAAUUUAUUUUACUAAUAAAUAAAAUUAUUAU
This is a long non-coding RNA of Bicyclus anynana (squinting bush brown), 210 nucleotides long. RefSeq lists it as uncharacterized. The transcript has 2 exons. The record is from RefSeq and is a predicted model, not a curated record. Lineage: Eukaryota; Metazoa; Arthropoda; Insecta; Lepidoptera; Nymphalidae.